GGGGAAUAUUGCACAAUGGGCGAAAGCCUGAUGCAGCAACGCCGCGUGAGUGAUGAAGGUCUUCGGAUUGUAAAGCUCUGUCUUUUGGGACGAUAAUGACGGUACCAAAGGAGGAAGCCACGGCUAACUACGUGCCAGCAGCCGCGGUAAUACGUAGGUGGCGAGCGUUGUCCGGAUUUACUGGGCGUAAAGGGUGCGUAGGCGGAUGUUUAAGUGAGAUGUGAAAUACCCGGGCUUAACUUGGGUGCUGCAUUUCAAACUGGAUAUCUAGAGUGCAGGAGAGGAGAAUGGAAUUCCUAGUGUAGCGGUGAAAUGCGUAGAGAUUAGGAAGAACACCAGUGGCGAAGGCGAUUCUCUGGACUGUAACUGACGCUGAGGCACGAAAGCGUGGGUAGCAAACAGGAUUAGAUACCCUGGUAGUCCACGCCGUAAACGAUGAGUACUAGGUGUAGGAGGUAUCGACCCCUUCUGUGCCGCAGUAAACACAUUAAGUACUCCGCCUGGGGAAGUACGAUCG
This 517-nucleotide ribosomal RNA is filed under the name uncultured bacterium. Its description in RNAcentral is "partial 16S ribosomal RNA". It matches the Rfam family "Bacterial small subunit ribosomal RNA", at positions 356 to 888 of the family's 1533-position model. The record is from RNAcentral.